Molecule: non-coding RNA, 31 nt
Filed under: Homo sapiens (human)
Lineage: Eukaryota; Metazoa; Chordata; Mammalia; Primates; Hominidae
Source: RNAcentral
UGGAGGUGUCUGGAUGAGCCAUGAUGAUCCC